UGCAGUCGAACGGCAGCACGAGAGAGCUUGCUCUCUUGGUGGCGAGUGGCGGACGGGUGAGUAAUAUAUCGGAACGUGCCCAGUAGCGGGGGAUAACUACUCGAAAGAGUGGCUAAUACCGCAUACGCCCUACGGGGGAAAGGGGGGGAUUCUUCGGAACCUCUCACUAUUGGAGCGGCCGAUAUCGGAUUAGCUAGUUGGUGGGGUAAAGGCUCACCAAGGCAACGAUCCGUAGCUGGUUUGAGAGGACGACCAGCCACACUGGGACUGAGACACGGCCCAGACUCCUACGGGAGGCAGCAGUGGGGAAUUUUGGACAAUGGGGGAAACCCUGAUCCAGCCAUCCCGCGUGUAUGAUGAAGGCCUUCGGGUUGUAAAGUACUUUUGGCAGAGAAGAAAAGGUAUCUCCUAAUACGAGAUACUGCUGACGGUAUCUGCAGAAUAAGCACCGGCUAACUACGUGCCAGCAGCCGCGGUAAUACGUAGGGUGCAAGCGUUAAUCGGAAUUACUGGGCGUAAAGCGUGUGUAGGCGGUUCGGAAAGAAAGAUGUGAAAUCCCAGGGCUCAACCUUGGAACUGCAUUUUUAACUGCCGAGCUAGAGUAUGUCAGAGGGGGGUAGAAUUCCACGUGUAGCAGUGAAAUGCGUAGAUAUGUGGAGGAAUACCGAUGGCGAAGGCAGCCCCCUGGGAUAAUACUGACGCUCAGACACGAAAGCGUGGGGAGCAAACAGGAUUAGAUACCCUGGUAGUCCACGCCCUAAACGAUGUCAACUAGCUGUUGGGGCCGUUAGGCCUUAGUAGCGCAGCUAACGCGUGAAGUUGACCGCCUGGGGAGUACGGUCGCAAGAUUAAAACUCAAAGGAAUUGACGGGGACCCGCACAAGCGGUGGAUGAUGUGGAUUAAUUCGAUGCAACGCGAAAAACCUUACCUACCCUUGACAUGUCUGGGAAUCCCGAAGAGAUUUGGGGAGUGCUCGCAAGAGAACCGGGAACACAGGUGCUGCAUGGCUGUCGUCAGCUCGUGUCNGUNGAGAUGUGGGUAGUCCCGCACGAGCGCAAC
Molecule: ribosomal RNA, 1060 nt
Filed under: Alcaligenes faecalis
Lineage: Bacteria; Pseudomonadati; Pseudomonadota; Betaproteobacteria; Burkholderiales; Alcaligenaceae
Description: bacterial SSU rRNA
Rfam family: Bacterial small subunit ribosomal RNA
Source: RNAcentral